Molecule: ribosomal RNA, 466 nt
Filed under: Vreelandella stevensii
Lineage: Bacteria; Pseudomonadati; Pseudomonadota; Gammaproteobacteria; Oceanospirillales; Halomonadaceae
Description: partial 16S ribosomal RNA
Rfam family: Bacterial small subunit ribosomal RNA
Source: RNAcentral
CCUACGGGCGGCUGCAGUGGGGAAUAUUGGACAAUGGGGGGAACCCUGAUCCAGCCAUGCCGCGUGUGUUAAGAAGGCCCUCGGGUUGUAAAGCACUUUCAGUGAGGAAGAACGCCUGGUGGUUAAUACCCAUCAGGAAAGACAUCACUCACAGAAGAAGCACCGGCUGAACUCCGUGCCAGCAGCCGCGGUAAUACGGAGGGUGCGAGCGUUAAUCGGAAUUACUGGGCGUAAAGCGCGCGUAGGUGGCUUGAUAAGCCGGUUGUGAAAGCCCCGGGCUCAACCUGGGAACGGCAUCCGGAACUGUCCAGCUAGAGUGCAGGAGAGGAAGGUAGAAUUCCCGGUGUAGAGGUGAAAUGCGUAGAGAUCGGGAGGAAUACCAGUGGCGAAGGCGGCCUUCUGGACUGACACUGACACUGAGGUGCGAAAGCGUGGGUAGCAAACAGGAUUAGAUACCCUGGUAGUC